CAUGUUAAAAUCGUCCAUUUAUCUUCUUACCAGCAAAAUCGUUGUAUUAUCUGCUGCUCAAGUAAACAAUGUGACAGUCAGGCAGUACAAUUAUAAUUAGGCAACCAGAACAUAUAACCUCUAUGUUGGGGAGCCUUCGAGAAAUUAUGUGAAUACAGUUACCGACUUUUACUUAAACCUGGUCCAUUAAAUCAAUUGUCUGUGAGUAUUGCUGAGCCCUCGGAACCCAUUUGUGGUAAGGAAGAUGACGAGGAAUGUUAUUUAUCUAAUUCCGAUGUGACAUAAGCUCAAAGGCUUCAGGCAGUGAAGCUACAGCUGUGAAAAAGCAUAUGAGAAAUAAACGUGUACUGAAGAGAGUCAAUUAUCAAAAGAGAAAUUAAAAUAUUUCAGUAGGACUACAACAAAACAAGCUGAAAGUCUCAUUCAGUCGAACAAUCGAAUAAAGAAAUGGAAUGAUCACGUACUCGAAGUGUUGGAAAACGUGGUCAAUGACAUCGGAGCCGAAUAAUGUCUACCACACAUGACCAACGAUUAUAAAUAAACAUAAAGAGUUUUAAAGUGUAAAAAGUUGCUAGAACUCCUAUAACUGCUAUAUAUAUUCAGCUCACAAUAUGUAUGUAUGUGCCAUAAUAGACAUGGUUGGGCAAAGCAGCAUUUGAUUUUAAUUGUAUCAAUUUGGAUCUCGAACGAUCUCUUUAAAGGAUAGCAUCCACUUGUGAAGUUUUAAAUGUUUGAAGUUUAGGUUAAAAAUUGUUUAAAAAAUGGGAGUGGCCCCACCCUCUAAGGGCUUUAAUAUGCAUAUCUCUAAUCUACCAAAUUCGCCCAUAAGAACGACUACCGAAAAUAUGGAAAGGAUGAAAUCAGAUUAUAACCUCGCUCUCUCAUUAACUACCAUAAAUGCGCUAGGGACAUUAAAUUUUACACACAGGAUGAUAAAAAGGGUUUUAUAGGAGCCGGGGUCAAAACUGUCUCGUGGCAACGCCUACACAUAUCACAUAGCAAUUGGACUUGAUU
Bactrocera oleae (olive fruit fly) is the source of this 1014-nucleotide non-coding RNA. NCBI's taxonomy places the organism in Eukaryota, Metazoa, Arthropoda, Insecta, Diptera, Tephritidae. The record is from RefSeq and is a predicted model, not a curated record.